Molecule: long non-coding RNA, 288 nt
Filed under: Olea europaea subsp. europaea
Lineage: Eukaryota; Viridiplantae; Streptophyta; Magnoliopsida; Lamiales; Oleaceae
Rfam family: Bacterial small subunit ribosomal RNA
Source: RNAcentral
NACAACGAAAGCACUCUGUUGGACCGACACUGACACUGACACUGAGAGACGAAAGCUAGGGGAGCGAAUGGGAUUAGAUACCCCAGUAGUCCUAGCCGUAAACGAUGGAUACUAGGCGCUGUGCGUAUCGACCCGUGCAGUGCUGUAGCUAACGCGUUAAGUAUCCCGCCUGGGAAAUACAUUCACAAGAAUGAAACUCAAAAGAAUUGAUGGGGUCCGCACAAGCGAUGGAGCAUGUGGUUUAAUUCGAUGCAAAGUGAAGAACCUUACUAAGGCUUUCCCUAAUAC